Long non-coding RNA from Diceros bicornis minor, 1279 nucleotides. RefSeq lists it as uncharacterized. The transcript is spliced from 3 exons. The record is from RefSeq and is a predicted model, not a curated record. NCBI's taxonomy places the organism in Eukaryota, Metazoa, Chordata, Mammalia, Perissodactyla, Rhinocerotidae.
AUCUUGUCACCCUUGUCAAACAUAAUUUGAUCGCAUGGGUGAGGGUUAAUGUCUGGGCUCUCAAUUCUGUUUCCAUUGGUCAAUAUGUCUGUCUUUAUGCCAUGACAAUGCUGUUUUGAUACAGUAGAUUUGUAGUAAGUUUUCAAUUAGGAAGAAUCAGUCCUCCAACUUACUACCUCCUUUCAAGAUUAUUUUUGGUAUCUGGGCUUACUUGAGAUUCCAUAAGAAUCUUAGGAUGGGUUUUUUUCUAUUUUAGCACAAAAUGUCCUUGGGAUUUUGAUAAGGACUGCACUGGAUUUGUUGAUCUCUUUGGAUAAUGUUGACAUCGUCAGAAUAAGGAGUCCUCCAAUCCAUGAUCACGUGACGUGCUUCUCAGGACAGGAGGAGCCGCCUCAAGGGAAGACAGAUCUUCUCCAGGAGCUGAAGUUCAUCCAAGGAGAGCAGAGUCUAGGGCUGCAGAGCGCCACUGCUCUCCAUCUCAGGGACAAGUCGGUCUCCAACCCCUCUCCCCCUCCCGGCUGGCCCCCAGCGGUUCCCAUUGUAUCCUCGGAGGCCCGCGCAUGCGCAGGACCGGCGCUCAUAGCAGCAGAGGCGCCAGCGAGCUGGAGAGCCCCAGGCGCGCGCACUGGAGGCGGGGUCCCUGGUGGGGAGGUGGUGCUGCAGGGGUUUGUGUGGUGGGAAUUGGCGGUUUCUGGAUCCUUUCUCCAGGAUUUUCAGCGCUGGGGAGCUCUCCUUUCUACAGUGUGGAGGAGCGCUGGGCAGGAGGCAGCGCUGAGCACACGUGUGGAGGACUCCCUAGAAUGGACACCUGCCUCUGAGUGGAUUGCUGGGCCAGAGGCUGACGUGCAUCUGAAACUUGACGAGCUGCAGCCAAAUCAUCCUCUGAAGUUUUAACAAUUUCCAUUCCCGCCAACAGUGUCUGAGUCAUCCUUGCCCUGGGAAUUGUCAGGUCAGCAUUGUCAGAUUUUUAAAGUUUUGCCAAUCUGAUGAGUGAGAAAUGAUGUAUUUGUUUUCCUCUUUGUACAACUGUUUUGACAAAUUCAUAGAGCUGUGCAACUACCAAAAUUGAGAUACAGAACAGUUCCAGCACCCAGAACUCCCUUCAGCUGCUCUUUUGUAGUCAUCUCUUCCCCCACCCUUAACCCCUGGUGACUAAUGAUCUGUUGUCUUUCCCUAUGGUUUGUCUUUUGUAGAAUAUCAUAUAAAUGGAAUCCUACAGUAUUUGGCCUUUUGAGUCUGGAUUCUUUCAUUUAGCACAAUACAUUGAUUUGAGUGUUCA